Molecule: ribosomal RNA, 253 nt
Filed under: uncultured prokaryote
Description: partial 16S ribosomal RNA
Rfam family: Bacterial small subunit ribosomal RNA
Source: RNAcentral
UACGGAGGGUGCGAGCGUUAUUCGGAAUUACUGGGCGUAAAGCGCGUGUAGGCGGUGAUGCAAGUCUGAUGUGAAAGCCCUGGGCUUAACCUGGGAAGUGCAUUGGAAACUGCAUGUCUUGAGUACUGGAGAGGAAGGGGGAAUUCCCGGUGUAGAGGUGAAAUGCGUAGAGAUCGGGAGGAAUACCAGUGGCGUAGGCGCCCUACUGGACGGUAACUGACGCUGAGACGCGAAAGCGUGGGGAGCAAACAGG